Molecule: ribosomal RNA, 404 nt
Filed under: Verrucomicrobiota bacterium
Lineage: Bacteria; Pseudomonadati; Verrucomicrobiota
Description: Verrucomicrobia bacterium partial 16S ribosomal RNA
Rfam family: Bacterial small subunit ribosomal RNA
Source: RNAcentral
UGGGGAAUAUUGCACAAUGGGGGAAACCCUGAUGCAGCGACGCCGCGUGAGCGAAGAAGGCCUUCGGGUCGUAAAGCUCUUUUAUGAGGGAAGAUAAUGACGGUACCUCAAGAAAAAGCCCCGGCUAACUACGUGCCAGCAGCCGCGGUAAUACGUAGGGGGCUAGCGUUGUCCGGAAUCACUGGGCGUAAAGGGUUCGCAGGCGGAAUAACAAGUCAGAUGUGAAAGGCAUGGGCUCAACCCAUGUAAGCAUUUGAAACUGUAAUUCUUGAGAAGGGGAGAGGUAAGUGGAAUUCCUAGUGUAGCGGUGAAAUGCGUAGAUAUUAGGAGGAAUACCUGUGGCGAAGGCGACUUACUGGAGACAAAUCUGACGCUGAGGAACGAAAGCGUGGGUAGCAAACAGG